UACGAAGGGGGCUAGCGUUGCUCGGGAUCACUGGGCGUAAAGGGUGCGUAGGCGGGUGUUUAAGUCAGGGGUGAAAUCCUGGAGCUCAACUCCAGAACUGCCUUUGAUACUGAAGAUCUUGAGUUCGGGAGAGGUGAGUGGAACUGCGAGUGUAGAGGUGAAAUUCGUAGAUAUUCGCAAGAACACCAGUGGCUAAGGCGGCUCACUGGCCCGAUACUGACGCUGAGGCACGAAAGCGUGGGGAGCAAACAGG
RNAcentral lists this ribosomal RNA (253 nucleotides) under uncultured bacterium. RNAcentral describes it as "partial 16S ribosomal RNA". It matches the Rfam family "Bacterial small subunit ribosomal RNA", at positions 524 to 776 of the family's 1533-position model. The record is from RNAcentral.